This 253-nucleotide ribosomal RNA is filed under the name uncultured bacterium. RNAcentral describes it as "partial 16S ribosomal RNA". It matches the Rfam family "Bacterial small subunit ribosomal RNA", at positions 524 to 776 of the family's 1533-position model. The record is from RNAcentral.
UACAGAGGUCCCAAGCGUUGUUCGGAUUCACUGGGCGUAAAGGGCGCGUAGGCGGCCGAUCAAGUCGGAGGUGAAAUCCCUCGGCUCAACUGAGGAAUUGCCUUCGAUACUGUUCGGCUUGAGUCCUGGAGAGGGUAGCGGAAUUCCCGGUGUAGCGGUGAAAUGCGUAGAGACCGGGAAGAACACCAGUGGCGAAGGCGGCUACCUGGACAGGUACUGACGCUGAAGCGCGAAAGCUAGGGGAGCAAACAGG